GGCUGCGUGAUAAGGGGAAUAGUAGCAAUCGAAAAAAUACAGAGAGACAGCGGCCGGUGAAAGCUGUUUUUGAUUCGUUGUGAACUCGCCCCUGUACUUAAAAGCACGUAUCCCGGCUUAUCCACCGUUAUCGGAACCGAGUGAGCGAAAAAUUCGCUAAUGUGGGUGGUACCGCGGGAUACAGCCUCUCGUCCCAUAA
This 199-nucleotide non-coding RNA is filed under the name Salimicrobium jeotgali. Its description in RNAcentral is "T-box sequence". It matches the Rfam family "T-box leader". Rfam says of the family: Uncharged tRNA acts as the effector for transcription antitermination of genes in the T-box leader family. The record is from RNAcentral. Lineage: Bacteria; Bacillati; Bacillota; Bacilli; Caryophanales; Bacillaceae.